This 406-nucleotide ribosomal RNA is filed under the name uncultured bacterium. RNAcentral describes it as "partial 16S ribosomal RNA". It matches the Rfam family "Bacterial small subunit ribosomal RNA", at positions 30 to 526 of the family's 1533-position model. The record is from RNAcentral.
AUUGAACGCUGGCGGCAGGCCUAACACAUGCAAGUCGAGCGAGCGGCGGACGGGUGAGUAAUGUCUGUGAAACUGCCUGAUGGAGGGGGAUAACUACUGGAAACGGUAGCUAAUACCGCAUACCCUCAGAUGUGCCCAGAUGGGAUUAGCUCGUAGGUGGGGUAACGGCUCACCUAGGCGACGAUCCCUAGCUGGUCUGAGAGGAUGAGCAGCCACACUGGAACUGAGACACGGCCCAGACUCCUACGGGAGGCAGCAGUGGGGAAUAUUGCACAAUGGGCGCAAGCCUGAUACAGCCAUGCCGCGUGUAUGAAGAAGGCCUUCGGGUUGUAAAGUACUUUCAGUGGGGAGGCGUUACCGGCAGAAGAAGCACCGGCUAACUCCGUGCCAGCAGCCGCGGUAAUAC